UGGAGGAGGGCAUGGUGACCCACUCCAGUAUUCUUGCCUGGAGAACCCCACGGACAGAGGAGCCUGGCAGACUAGAGUCCAUAGGAUUGCCAAGAGUCGGACACAACUGACGUGACUUAGCACAUACGCACAAGACUCAAAUAAGACCCAGAUGUUGGAACUGUCAGACAAGGGCUUGACAGUCGCUAUGAUGGAAAUGCCAAAGGGUUUCAUAGGAAAGAUGGACAUAUGUGAACAAAUAGGGAAAUUCAUUAGAGAGGUGAAGACUGCAAGGAAGAGUCCAAAAGAAAUUCUAGAAAUAAGCAGCGGCAGCAAUAGGGUAUUCCUUUGACAAGCUCAUCAGUAGAUCUGAUACAGCUGAGCAAAGUCAACGUGAAGAUGGUUAAUAGAAAUUAUCCAAACUGAAACGAAAAGAAAAAAAAACUUUUUUUAAAGGAGAACAUCUAGAGCCCUGGGAUGAUGACUGACAGCCUGACAUGUGUGUCAUCAGGGUCCCAGAGAGAGAAGAGGACUGUGUGUUCAUCCGAGUAGGACAGGAGGACAGCUUCAGUGAAGUGGAGCUGCAAAGCCUUCCCUCCUGCCUCGGAUUUUCCUUUUGACCUCCGGGCUUUGAGCCUUGGGGGUGGGUGAUGGGCAAGGAGAGGGUAGAGAGACAUUCCAGGCCUGAUUUCCUGUAUAUUGGGAAAAGCUGAGUGCUGCAGAGAGGCGGAGAGAGGAAAGCAGACCAAGGAAGGGGAAGUAGCUGAAGCAGAAAGAGGAGAAUCCAGAACAAGCUUAGGACAUUUGAGAUUUGGAGAGAGGAAGUGAAUCCUCAUACGUCAGGAAUACACCUUCAGACACAGAAGUGCUUACAGACCAUCACCUGAUGGCAGACAGGAGUACCUGACCACGGGAAAAGAAUCUGCCUUGGUAGUGCAGGGCACACUGGUUCAAUCCCUGGUCCAGGAAGAUCCCACAUGCCGCGGAGCAACUAAGCCUGUCGGACACAACUGCUCAGCCCAUGUGCAGCAGCUACUGAAGCCUGUGUGCCCUGGAGCCUCUUUCCACAACAAAAGAAGCCACUGCAUUGAGAAGCCUGCACCACACCUAGAGAAGAGCCCUGGCUCUCUGCAACUUAGAGGAAGAUGUACACAGCAACGAGGACCCAGCACAGCCAAAAAUAAACAAACAUUUUUUAUUAAAAAAAAAAAAAAGAAUGAUCCAGUUAGUUUGCUGAAAGUUAAAUCCUCUGCUGACUCAGAAUGGAGGAAAAUACACUUAGAAUCAAUAGUUUUAAUCGGAGAUGCCUGGGCCAGUGCAAGCACUGACCAGGAAACAGUUAAAGUGCGUUUCAGAGCAAAGAUGAGAAGAGGACAGUAAAAGAGAUUUGUGAGAGUUUCAUUAACCAAUAGUAUCUUUUAUUCAUCACCAUGUCUACUGGAUCAAAACUCAUCAGAAAGGAAAACAAUGACUUGAUUUCCCCACCGCACUUCCCCCCUUUCCACCACCCUCCCUAAGGAAAAUGAAAUUACUUACAUGAGGAGGGCUUAUACUUGACACAAAUAAAUGUACCGGUUCUAGAUUA
Long non-coding RNA from Bubalus bubalis (water buffalo), 1564 nucleotides. RefSeq lists it as uncharacterized. The transcript is spliced from 2 exons. Lineage: Eukaryota; Metazoa; Chordata; Mammalia; Artiodactyla; Bovidae. The record is from RefSeq and is a predicted model, not a curated record.